Gasterosteus aculeatus aculeatus (three-spined stickleback) is the source of this 4852-nucleotide long non-coding RNA. The record is from Ensembl. Lineage: Eukaryota; Metazoa; Chordata; Actinopteri; Perciformes; Gasterosteidae.
GGGCUCAUUUGGAGUCAAAAACAAGCCAAAACAGGAUACGCUUAUGGGCGGAGCUUCUCUUUGAUUGACGGGUUCGUGAGAGUCGUCUUCCUCUUACAAACCUUUGACAGUGUGUUUUCACUUCAUUAAAGUUGUGAAACUGAUUAUUAUGGUUUCAAAUAUCAAGAUAGCAGCAACAGAGAGAUUUGUUCUGUCCGUUUUCACUGUAAAUGCCCAUUUGACAACCAUGGACCUUUGUUUAACUACCAUAUAUAUAUAUGUCUAAGAAACACAGCUUUGGUUCAACACCAUCAAAUAAAGGUUUAUCAUUGCCCAUCGGAGAUGACACGUAUACCAACCGGCUUCAUUAUUAGACAACAGACGUGGCACAAAGACCGAGUUAGUCUGUUAUAUCAAGCACGAUGCUUCUGUUCCCCGCACAAAACAUCAUCUGGCUUUUUGUGCAAAAUAUGCAGCUGUAGCCUCCCGCUUGUAUCAAACGGUCAUGUUUAGCUUAGCUUGAUUAGCUAGCUUGCUACAGCUCGCCAAUGAAAUCAAUGCCCCGCUGUUUGAAUCUGCCAUGUUAUUAAUGCAAACGCGUGACGAUGAACCAACUCGACAUACAUGGCAACAGUAACUAUGGGGGAAGAAAAAUCCCACUAAGGGGGCAAAAAGUCGACAGCGUCAACUUCAAUUAUCUGGACAGCAUUGAAACCCCAAAUCUCUGAGGACAGACGGCCAGCAAGCUUUGCUUUCUUUGUUCGUUGUCGGAUCAAAAGGAAUCACUUUGGGACUUAAAGGAAAAAAGCCACUUCAUGGGUAUUUGUGAUACAACCACAGAGAGAGAAACUCAUAUUUCUUGUUGGUUUCACCCUGUCGAGUGAUGUCACGUCACGUCAAGUUUGUUUUCGUAAAGUCCGAUGUCGUGUUCGGGGUCUCGGUGGGCUUUGCGGACCCUCAGCUGCCACGACUCUGAGGCCGAGCUGCCUGGCGUCGGGACGAGAAGGAACCCGGAGAAUGUCGUCUUAUAAUAAAUAGAAGACGAUUUCAGAGUAACUCUGCCUCUGCUUCAGAUCCGUGCCCAGCGGAGAUGUCGUCUUAACUGCUGCUACUGCAGAUUUGAGAGAAUUAACCGAGUCGAGGAAGGAUCAACUGCGCAGUAUUUUCAACAGCCGGUUGAAUGAAAGGAACGCGGAGGCUUUUACUAUUGUUCCGAACUGCAGCAGAGAAACAAUAUAAAUGCAUAUAAAGCAACUUAACUAUACAGUUAUGGCCUCAGUUUUAACGGUGAUAUCGUGCACCAUCCGCUGUCUAAAUGUAAUCUUGUCCUACGUUGUUGUCUAUUAUUUAUCCUUUUUCCGGUUAUCUUCCCUUUAAUUUAGCACCAGUUACUCGCGCGCUGUGACAGUGACAGUUGGUGAUCAACCAGAGGAACCUUUGAUCAAUUAGCAGGGAAAUACCAGGGCUUUGCUGCCACGUGUGUGUGUGUGUGUGUGUCUGUGUGUGUGUGUGUGUGUGUGUGAGGAUCAUUAAAUGACAAAGUGUGUGUGGCAAGGCUUCUUGCUUUUAAUUUUUCAUCUGGUUUCUGUAGCCAAGUUGCAGACGUGUGUGUGUGUGUGUGCGUUUGCAUUUGCAUGCAGUUCUGCAUGUUUGCGUGUCUGCAAGUCUCAACAGAGAUGAAGAGGAAACAGAAGACAAACAAUCUGACAGCUGUAUGCCGAAUGUACUCUAUGUGUUGUUGGGCCAUUGUGUGUUUGUGUGCGUGUGUGUGUGUGUGUGUGUGUGUGUGUGUGUGUGUGUGUGUGUGUGUGUUGAGCCACACGCUCCGAGUUAAACGUGAAAAGCAAUAUCGGGUGUGUUCUGGUUUAUAAUGGCGGCCUGUGGGCAUCAUUUUCUCCCUUUGUCACUUUUCGGUCUCGGAGCCGCCGUGUCUGGAUGUGACAUGUGGUCUUUGAAUUGUUUUUGAGACAUUUACUAAAACCUUAAUAACGAACUCCUUCAUCUUAUCGAUUUUGAGGUAUUAACAUUCUGUUCAGAGCUGGAAGUGCUAAGAACAGCUUUUCAAUCUUUGACUGCAACUCACGACUAUUCUACUAUUUAUUCCUCAUAAAUGAAUCAUUUUUGGAACAAUCAGUCUUUGCUUUAUAAAACAUUGGAAAAGUAGUUGAGUGUGGUCCACAAAAUCAAUAAUAUAACGCCAAAAUAUAAUAAAUACAAGAAUUCAUCCACUUAGUUUCCAAUAAACCUUUUGUACUGUUUAACUCAUCAAUUGAUUGCCAUUUGUUUCUGGCCACAUCCAAUUUGAAGGCUGCUUUUAAACCUCCUAAAAAGGAAGCAGAAAGAAACUCCACAAACCGACAUUUUAAAUUUGCUUUAUUGCCAUUUUAUAGUUAGAUGAAAAGAUUGAGCUCAUGCCCCCGUCUGUACAGUAAACAUCAAGCUACAGGCCUUGGUUGUUGCCUGGCGACAGCAGAAAUUCAAUACAGACUACUUUGGAUCACUAUAUCGAAUUAAAAAUAAUCAAAUAUGAAAUAAUCAAAUUGAUGUUUAAGUUUUGACACUAACAACGUCUCCCACUUGGCGUGUCACAUGGGCAUAAAUCAACACCUUUAAAAACACAUUGAUGGAAAAUGUUACAUAUUUACGAUCGUUUUCACCACUUUUGUAAAAUGGGUGUCCGGAAACAGCCCCGGCGUAUUUAGCCGGCGUGUGUCACAUGACUGUGGAAAUCAAUGUGACAUCAGAACGUGGCGCACAGCCUUCUACAUCAAACGUGUGAGAGAAUGGCAAACAGGAAACAAAGCACAGUGUGGUGCUUUUCACCUGCAGACAGAAACACGGCCAGAUGACCUAUUUGUGACGCCGUGGUGGAGUAACCUCUGCAAACGCCCAGAGAGAACGCGGCCUUUAGGUCGUGGCGACGCUUAUCGUUCCAUCUAUAAAACGUUUUUCACUUAACGACACAAUUGCUCUGAUGUUCGCUUGUAUAAUACACACGUUAAUGUACUUGACCAGCAACAGGAAGCGGAAUGUAAAGCUGAUGACAAAAUAAAGCAACUUCAGCUUUAAUACGGACGGCGCGGUGAAAAAAUACGGCAUUUAUUAGAUAUUCUGCUUAGAAAGUCCCCCAUCUGACGGAAACAAUUUUUCUAUUAAUUAUAGGCAUUUUCAUUCAAUUUCAAUCUAACAAUCGGUAGAGAUGAUUCCUCAUUACCUCCAUGUAUGUGAAUCACUGCCUCACCCCUCGAUCCGCCUUUGUGAUCCAUGAUGCCGCCCUCAUUAAUAUCACAUCGUACAUAAAAGGGGGAGAAAGCUUCUUUGAACUCGAGGUGUAUUUCCAAAAGCCCUUCACGCAUUUCGAAUUUAGGAGAGUAAAGAUUAAGUUCAGGGAGAAAAAAUAAUGCUCAGGCUCUCACACACACACACACACACACACACACACACACACACACACACACACACACACACACACGCAGCAGCAUCAUGAUGAUGUCAGGACCGAAGUCACAUCAUCUUGGAAAGAAAACAGGCCAGAAUCUCAUCACUGCAUCCUGAAAUGAGAUUACCACCCCGGCCCUGCUUUUUAUAUAGAAGUCAAUAUAUCAUUCAUCUUGCCUCUGCCUCCUUCCCCUACAAAUCCUAUUAAAUCCCAGAUAUGUCCCAUAGAAUAAAGACCGGCUGGCUGGCGAGGGGGAGAGAGGGAGGGAGGGAGGGAGACGUGAGUGUUGUGGACUUCACAGAGCUUCUCCCAGCGUCACUCAGUCAAGGACACAUUGAGACGUGUAAACUGCAAACAUCACACGCGGGACUUGCUUUCUGUUGUGCGUCCACGAGACCAUUUAACGUCUCGCGAAUGCAAACCGGGAACAAAGCGGAUGCUUAUGGAUCACUGCGUUGGUGUGAUCGCGUGCUAUCGUGUGCAGACAAAAGUACCUCGGGUUGCUAGUGAGACAUAAAGAGACGGGACCUCUGUCCACGGCGCCGAGGCGCAUAAAUACUCAUGAGGUCAAACUUCCCCUUUCUUCCAUCGCUUCAUGUUUCCUGGCUGCUCUUCAGCCUGAAUAGAUGACACACAACCAUGUAAGGAACCAGUGUUUAGGAAACACACAACUCCGCUAUCUAUAAAUCAUGAAUACAGGAGACGCCUCCUUUAGUAUUUGCACAUUUUUUUAAAAAUAAACCUAAAACAUUUUACAAUCUUGAGUGGUCACUAACGAACCGGCGACGAAUGAGUCAUGAAUGAGUCGUUCAUGAAUAAUUCAAGGAUGAAGUUGAUGAUAAACGAAGGACGUUGCUGCUCUGGAUACAGAGAGACGUCUACGAGAAAAUAACUGCUUGUCACUUGAUCCAUGCACCUGAAGAAAAGAUGGCAAACACGAGUUUAUGCUCCUAAUCUCUAGUUUGAUUUCUUCUGAAAUAUAAUAUAGUAAGAACACUUUGAGCAGAGCAGACCACCAGGCGGCUUCAGGGACCUUGUGAUUGACAGAUCUGAACUGGGACGGUUUCACAGUGUUUUUCGUUGCCUAAAUUGUGUUUUAUUCCACAUCAGCAAAUGUGGGCUUAUAGAGAUAUUAGCCAGACGGCACCAGAUGCCAAGACGUUGUCAGACUGACAGCUGAUCGCGUUUGGAUUUGUUACUUUUACAUUUUAGAUAACAGUCUGAUGGCCCUUUUUCCUGUUUCAACAUGUCCUCAGGUGAAAAAACAGAUGUGUAAAGAAAUGACCUCCCCGGUUUGUUGUUGAACAGCUGCACAGACCUCGACCCAAUCUGACACCUUUUCAGCCGAGACCAACACUGACCCCUCGCCGGACGCAGAACACAGCCGUGUGAGAAAGGUGCACCCCCCGCUGGGCCAACGGACGAGGGGGGGGG